This 1452-nucleotide long non-coding RNA is filed under the name Monodelphis domestica (gray short-tailed opossum). RNAcentral's name for it is "lncRNA (ENSMODG00000045396.1)". The record is from RNAcentral. Lineage: Eukaryota; Metazoa; Chordata; Mammalia; Didelphimorphia; Didelphidae.
AUUUGAACUUUGUGAUGCAAUUAUACUCUCAGUGGUCUGAUCAAGUUGCCAUAUUUUUCACCAUCUCCAUCGACUUCCACCAGACAGAAAGACAGAAUGUUUGAGGUAAUGUUGAAACCUCAGCAAUCUCCCAACAGCAACAACUUAAGUCCCAGCAACAUUUCCAGUAGUUUUCAGAGAGCAAUCAAGGUAUAGAGGUUUAAAGUGGAAUGUACAACAUCCUCACACCACCAUCUGACAGAUUGGAAGGAUACUAUUGCACCACAAGAAAUGUCAAGCAUGAUGAAUUCAGAAAAACCUGGAAAGACUUACAUGAACUGAUGCAAAGUGAAGUGAGCAGAAUGAGGAAAACAAUGUAUAUGGUAACAGAAAUUGUUGGGUCCGAGAAAAUCCCCCAAGAAUGGAGACAUGGAGACAAUGCAAGUAAGCAAAGGAUCACCGUUUAUUUCUAGCACGUGCUAGGGCUGCCCCAAAGAAGGGGGGUGUGCCAGAUUGGCUGAGGAAACACCUUUUAUAGUAUAGAGGGCUAGUAUGAAAUGUUGUACAAUAGGAUAUCAUGAUUUGGCAGUUGCGGCUAGCUGAGGGGUUCACAAAACAGAGAGUGUCUGCUUAGCUGCUGGAACGGUUAUGCUGACUUGGGCAAGAGCUUACUCCUGGUCCCCAGAGGGAAGUUGUUCUGACUUCCUUCAUUCCCUACUUCUUCUGCUGUACAUGAGGAAUCUCCCUCAUGCGAUCCUCAUAAGGGGAUUCAGUGGAAGUCAGAGUUUGAUAUUGCUAGUGAAGGACCAUAGCUGAACAGUAUUAAUGUGAUCCUUGACAAAGGCUACUAGACAAUUAAGAAUGCAUGGAACUAGCCCUGGAUGAUCAGUAUAAAAGCAAGAACCCUUAUACUAGGAGUCACGAGGAUGCAAGGGAGCAGAAGAAUUCCCCUGUCAAUAGUCUGCCCGAGUUUCUGGUGGUACAAUGCCUAUGUCAUCUGCCCCCUCUCCAAAUAUCUAGGGGAAAGGUGCAAUGGUCUCAGUCUUCUGUAGCUUCUUCAGAGCUGAGAAUGGUCAUAGAAACUGUUCCUGCCUAUUGUUAGGAGACAGGUAUUGACUGUAGGCAAGGUCCAGGGCUUCAGGCUGGAAUAGUUGCUGAGGUUACAGUGGCAUCUGGGUGACUUCCAUGAGUGCUUUUACCCUAGAAGCAACUAGAGAAGUGACAAGGUUACAAAUGCAAGGUCCACAUAUCCCACAGGGGAGUAGCCAAAACUUGAACAGGGAAGGAAAGGCUGUGGACACAGGGUCUUUAGGGGAGUGUCCUCAGUGACUGCCUGGGUCCUAGGUAGAUGGGGACCUGCUUGGAGAUUUGAAGGAUGUCCAGCAACUGCUUCCCCCAAUUUUCAGACAGGUCACAAGGGGGAGAGUCAGCCCCUAAGAUAGAAGUAUUGAAACCAGUACUGGGCAAAAACUA